GAUGGACGCUGGCGGCGUGCCUAAUACAUGCAAGUCGAGCGAAUGGAUUAAGAGCUUGCUCUUAUGAAGUUAGCGGCGGACGGGUGAGUAACACGUGGGUAACCUGCCCAUAAGACUGGGAUAACUCCGGGAAACCGGGGCUAAUACCGGAUAACAUUUUGAACCGCAUGGUUCGAAAUUGAAAGGCGGCUUCGGCUGUCACUUAUGGAUGGACCCGCGUCGCAUUAGCUAGUUGGUGAGGUAACGGCUCACCAAGGCAACGAUGCGUAGCCGACCUGAGGGGGUGAUCGGCCACACUGGGACUGAGACACGGCCCAGACUCCUACGGGAGGCAGCAGUAGGGAAUCUUCCGAAAUGGACGAAAGUCUGACGGAGCAACGCCGCGUGAGGGAUGAAGGCUUUCGGGUCGUAAAACUCUGUUGUUAGGGAAGAACAAGUGCUAGUUGAAUAAGCUGGCACCUUGACGGUACCUAACCAGAAAGCCACGGCUAACUACGUGCCAGCCGCCGCGGUAA
RNAcentral lists this ribosomal RNA (515 nucleotides) under uncultured bacterium. Its description in RNAcentral is "partial 16S ribosomal RNA". It matches the Rfam family "Bacterial small subunit ribosomal RNA", at positions 28 to 523 of the family's 1533-position model. The record is from RNAcentral.